AGAGUUUGAUCCUGGCUCAGGAUGAACGCUAGCGGCAGGCCUAACACAUGCAAGUCGAGGGGUAACAGGAAGUGCUUGCACUUCGCUGACGACCGGCGCACGGGUGAGUACCGCGUAUACAAUCUGCCUCAUACUAGGGGAUAGCCCGAAGAAAUUUGGAUUAAUACCCUAUAGUAUCUUUUUAAGGCAUCUUAUUAAGAUUAAAGGUUACGGUAUGAGAUGAGUAUGCGUUCUAUUAGCUAGUAGGUGUGGUAACGGCACACCUAGGCUACGAUAGAUAGGGGCCCUGAGAGGGGGAUCCCCCACACUGGUACUGAGACACGGACCAGACUCCUACGGGAGGCAGCAGUGAGGAAUAUUGGACAAUGGGCGAAAGCCUGAUCCAGCCAUGCCGCGUGCAGGAUGACUGCCCUAUGGGUUGUAAACUGCUUUUAUAUAGGAAGAAAAACUUUCUCGUGAGAAAGCUUGACGGUACUAUAAGAAUAAGGAUCGGCUAACUCCGUGCCAGCAGCCGCGGUAAUACGGAGGAUCCAAGCGUUAUCCGGAAUCAUUGGGUUUAAAGGGUCCGUAGGUGGACAAAUAAGUCAGAGGUGAAAUCCUGCAGCUCAACUGUAGAACUGCCUUUGAUACUGUUUGUCUUGAGUUAUUAUGAAGUGGUUAGAAUGUGUAGUGUAGCGGUGAAAUGCAUAGAUAUUACACAGAAUACCGAUUGCGAAGGCAGAUCACUAAUAAUUAACUGACACUGAGGGACGAAAGCGUGGGUAGCGAACAGGAUUAGAUACCCUGGUAGUCCACGCCGUAAACGAUGGUCACUAGCUGUUUGGACUUCGGUCUGAGUGGCUAAGCGAAAGUGAUAAGUGACCCACCUGGGGAGUACGUUCGCAAGAAUGAAACUCAAAGGAAUUGACGGGGGCCCGCACAA
Molecule: ribosomal RNA, 922 nt
Filed under: marine metagenome
Description: bacterial SSU rRNA
Rfam family: Bacterial small subunit ribosomal RNA
Source: RNAcentral